Molecule: ribosomal RNA, 1276 nt
Filed under: Notolabrus parilus
Lineage: Eukaryota; Metazoa; Chordata; Actinopteri; Labriformes; Labridae
Description: partial 16S ribosomal RNA
Rfam family: Bacterial large subunit ribosomal RNA
Source: RNAcentral
GUACCUUUUGCAUCAUGAUUUAGUUAGUAAAAUUUAAGCAAAGCCUACUUUAGUUUAAAACCCCGAAACUAAGUGAGCUACUCCAAGACAGCCUAUCAAUUAGGGCACACCCUUCUCUGUGGCAAAAGAGUGGGAAGAGCUUCGAGUAGCGGUGACAGACCUACCGAACUUAGUUAUAGCUGGUUGCUUGAGAAAUGGAUAGGAGUUCAGCCUUUAGGGUUCUCCCUUCAACCUGGUAUCACCACCAUUCGUUAAACAAGAAGCCUAAGGAGUUAGUCAAAGGGGGUACAGCCCCUUUGAAAAAAGACACAACUUUCCCAGGAGGAUAAAAAUCAAAAUAAACAAGGACAAAAUGUUAGGGUGGGCCUAAGAGCAGCCAUCCCUGCAGAAUGCGUUAAAGCUCAGACAUUUUAAUUAACCCUUCGAUCCUGAUAGACUUAUCUCAACCCCUAAAAUUAUCAAGCCGUCCCAUGCCUCCAUGGGAGUGAUCCUGCUAACAUGAGUAAUAAGAGGGCCCAGGCCCUCUCCCUGGCACGAGUGUACAUCGGAACGAACCGCCACCGAAACUUAACGGCCCCAAUAGAAGAGGGCACUGGACAGCAAGAGACUCAACCAGAAAAAUAUCCAGAAACUAACCGUUAACCCCACACUGGCGUGCCUGAAGGGAAAGGCUAAAAGAAAAAGAAGGAACUCGGCAAACACCUGAAGCCUCGCCUGUUUACCAAAAACAUCGCCUCUUGCAAAACUAACGAAUAAGAGGUCCCGCCUGCCCAGUGACUAUGGGUUCAACGGCCGCGGUAUUUUGACCGUGCAAAGGUAGCGCAAUCACUUGUCUUUUAAAUGGAGACCUGUAUGAAUGGCAUCACGAGGGCUUAGCUGUCUCCUUUUUCCAGCCAAUGAAAUUGAUCUUUCCGUGCAGAAGCGGGAAUAACAACAUAAGACGAGAAGACCCUAUGGAGCUUUAGACACUAAGAUAGUUCACGUCAAACACCCCGGGUUAACGGGCCGAACUAAGUGGACCCUAUCCUAAUGUCUUUGGUUGGGGCGACCCUGGGGAAAUAAAUAACCCCCAUGUGGACUGGAAACACAACAUUUCCAAAACUAAGAGCUAACCGCUCUAAGGAACAGAAUUUCUGACCAUUUUAGAUCCGGCAACGCCGAUCAGCGGACCGAGUUACCCUAGGGAUAACAGCGCAAUCCUCUUUUAGAGCCCAUAUCGACAAGGGGGUUUACGACCUCGAUGUUGGAUCAGGACAUCCUAAUGGUGCAGCCGCUA